CCAAGCCUGCUCAGACGCCUCUGUGUCUGGGAGAUAACUGAGUUGGUCCUCGGUAAACUAAUUAUCUCCCGGAUAUAGAGAGUGCAAUACAAAAAUACCCCAAAAACACACAUUCAACAAUCAGGUACCCCCACAUGUUGUAUAUUCCCUGGAAUGUCUGAUCUAAGUGCCCAUUCUGUAAAGCUCAGAUCCAUGGGGUAAUGUCCAAAUGCCAUUGUCUCAAUGUUUUAGCCGAACGAUUUAACAAGUUUGGCUGAAAAGAGUUCC
Molecule: non-coding RNA, 267 nt
Organism: Pelobates cultripes (western spadefoot toad)
Lineage: Eukaryota; Metazoa; Chordata; Amphibia; Anura; Pelobatidae
Source: the annotation of a GenBank genome assembly